UGUCCUACGGGGGGCAGCAGUGAGGAAUAUUGGUCAAUGGGCGGAAGCCUGAACCAGCCAAGUCGCGUGAGGGAAUAAGGCCCUACGGGUCGUAAACCUCUUUUGCCGGGGAGCAAGGGCCGGGACGCGUCCCGGCCCGGAGAGUACCCGGAGAAAAAGCAUCGGCUAACUCCGUGCCAGCAGCCGCGGUAAUACGGAGGAUGCGAGCGUUAUCCGGAUUUAUUGGGUUUAAAGGGUGCGCAGGCGGAAGAUCAAGUCAGCGGUAAAAUUGAGAGGCUCAACCUCUUCGAGCCGUUGAAACUGGU
RNAcentral lists this ribosomal RNA (305 nucleotides) under uncultured bacterium. RNAcentral describes it as "bacterial SSU rRNA". It matches the Rfam family "Bacterial small subunit ribosomal RNA", at positions 335 to 637 of the family's 1533-position model. The record is from RNAcentral.